AGCAGCCGCGGUAAUUCCAGCUCCAAUAGCGUAUAUUAAAGUUGCUGCAGUUAAAAAGCUCGUAGUUGAAUUUCGGGAUCGAUAUAUCGGUCGUGCCUCGGUACGUACUGGUAUUUUCGGUUUCUACCUUCUGACGAACCUUGAUGUCAUUAAUUUGGUGUCUUGGGGAAUCAGGACUGUUACUUUGAAAAAAAUUAGAGUGUUUAAAGCAGGCUCACGCUUGAAUACAUUAGCAUGGAAUAAUGAAAUAGGACGUUUGAUUCUAUUUUGUUGGUUUCUAGGAUCGACGUAAUGAUUAAUAGGGAUAGUUGGGGGCAUUAGUAUUCAAUUGUCAGAGGUGAAAUCCUUGGAUUUAUUGAAGACUAACUACUGCGAAAGCAUUUGCCAAGGAUGUUUUCAUUAAUCAAGAACGAAAGUUAGGGAUCGAAGACGAUCAGAUACCGUCGUAGUCUUAACCAUAAACUAUGCCGACUAGGGAUCGGAUGAUGUUAAUUUUUAAUGUACUCAUUCGGCGCCUUAA
Molecule: ribosomal RNA, 520 nt
Filed under: uncultured Glomus
Lineage: Eukaryota; Fungi; Glomeromycota; Glomeromycetes; Glomerales; Glomeraceae
Description: SSU rRNA
Rfam family: Eukaryotic small subunit ribosomal RNA
Source: RNAcentral